Non-coding RNA from Trichonephila inaurata madagascariensis, 70 nucleotides. The record is from the annotation of a GenBank genome assembly. Lineage: Eukaryota; Metazoa; Arthropoda; Arachnida; Araneae; Nephilidae.
GCAUCGGGGUUCAAUGUUAGAAUGUUCGUUUCCCAAUCGAGUGUUCCGGGUUCGAUUCCCGGCCGAUGCA